GUAAGGAAUAUUGGUCAAUGGACGAAAGUCUGAACCAGCCAUCCCGCGUGCAGGAUGAAGGUCCUAUGGAUUGUAAACUGCUUUUAGCAGAGAAGAAAAGCAUCCUUUUAAGGGUGUCUGACGGUAUCUGCGGAAUAAGCACCGGCUAACUCCGUGCCAGCAGCCGCGGUAAUACGGAGGGUGCAAGCGUUAUCCGGAAUCACUGGGUUUAAAGGGUGCGUAGGCGGAAUAUUAAGUCAGUGGUGAAAGCCUGUCGCUUAACGAUAGAACUGCCAUUGAUACUGAUAUUCUUGAAUUGGGUUGAGGUUAGCGGAAUGUGACAUGUAGCGGUGAAAUGCAUAGAUAUGUCAUGGAACACCAAUUGCGAAGGCAGCUAGCUGGGCCUUGAUUGACGCUGAGGCACGAAAGCGUGGGUAGCGAACAGGAUUAGAUACCCGAGUAGUCC
This 445-nucleotide ribosomal RNA is filed under the name uncultured bacterium. RNAcentral describes it as "bacterial SSU rRNA". It matches the Rfam family "Bacterial small subunit ribosomal RNA", at positions 354 to 796 of the family's 1533-position model. The record is from RNAcentral.